GUUUUCAUUAAUCAAGAACGAAAGUUAGGGGAUCGAAGACGAUCAGAUACCGUCGUAGUCUUAACCAUAAACGAUGCCGACCAGCGAUUAGGAGACGUUGAAUACAAAACACCACCAUAUAUAAUUCAGUACAUGGCCAGUCAAAUGGUUGUGUAUUGUUUGUGUAUGGCACCGGUGAAUGACUCCCCUAGCAGCUUGUGAGAA
RNAcentral lists this ribosomal RNA (204 nucleotides) under Acanthamoeba sp. RNAcentral's name for it is "partial small subunit ribosomal RNA". It matches the Rfam family "Eukaryotic small subunit ribosomal RNA", at positions 966 to 1096 of the family's 1831-position model. Lineage: Eukaryota; Discosea; Longamoebia; Acanthamoebidae. The record is from RNAcentral.